Molecule: ribosomal RNA, 518 nt
Filed under: uncultured soil bacterium
Lineage: Bacteria
Description: bacterial SSU rRNA
Rfam family: Bacterial small subunit ribosomal RNA
Source: RNAcentral
GCUGGCGGCGUGCUUAACACAUGCAAGUCGAGUGCGCGUCCGUAGCAAUACGGAUGGCGCACGGCGCACGGGUGCGUAACACGUGGGCAAUCUGCCCUCCGAUGGGGAAUAACCCCGCGAAAGCGGGGCUAAUACCGCAUAACAUUCCGGGGACUUCGGUUCCUGGAUUCAAAGGCGUAAGUCGUCGGAGGUGGAGCCCGCGCCCGAUUAGCUAGUUGGUGAGGUAACGGCUCACCAAGGCAAUGAUCGGUAGCUGGUCUGAGAGGAUGGCCAGCCACACUGGAACUGAGACACGGUCCAGACUCCUACGGGAGGCAGCAGUGGGGAAUCUUGCGCAAUGGGCGAAAGCCUGACGCAGCGACGCCGCGUGGGGGAUGAAGCAUCUCGGUGUGUAAACCCCUUUCGACUGGGACGAAUGCCUCGCAAGAGGAGUGACGGUACCAGUAGAAGAAGCCCCGGCUAACUACGUGCCAGCAGCCGCGGUAAGACGUAGGGGGCCAGCGUUGUUCGGAAUUACU